AAAAUUGUAUUCUAACUAAAAAAAACAUAAAAAAAAAUAUUUUCCAUUUGAAUUCGAAUUAAACUUUGAACUCUUUUCAGCAUCUUGAUGAUCAUUAUUAUUCAUAAAUCCAUAAAUCAAUUCGAUCAAUCAAUUCGAUCAAUCAAUCAAUCAAAAAAAAAAUCUUAUCCAUCUAAUAAUAUUAUUAGACAACAAGUGAUGCUAUUGUGUAUGUGUGUGUGUUUGAGUGUGCUUUGAAAAUGUGAAAUGAAAUGUAUGUUUCAUCAUCAUCAUCAACAACAACAACAACAUUGACGUGACUUUUUUUCAGUGUAAUGUAUACAAAGUGAAAAAAAAGUGUUAUCGUUUUUUAUUUGAUUUUCAUUUUCAUUCUAACAUUCGAAAUUGCAAAAACAUUCACGAUCAUCAUCAUCAAUUUGUUUGUUUCAUAUUUUUUUUCUGUUUGUUUGUUUGUCUGUGCGUUUUACUAUUCUAUUCUGUGGAUAGUUUAUUUUUUUUCCCAUUUGAAUGUUUUCAACGACAACGAAAAACAUGCAUUUGACAAUGGUGUAAAAAAGGUUUUCAUAUUGAACAUUGAUUUUGUUUUUGAUACGCACACGCACCACCUGUCCAUUUACAAUCAAUAUAAGGAAUCAAAUCAUCACUACAUCAAUCGAAUAUAAUGAUG
Molecule: non-coding RNA, 667 nt
Organism: Dermatophagoides farinae (American house dust mite)
Lineage: Eukaryota; Metazoa; Arthropoda; Arachnida; Sarcoptiformes; Pyroglyphidae
Source: RefSeq, a predicted model, not a curated record